GUCUACUACUUUCGAAUGUUCCGUGUGUUUGAUUGCGAAUUUUAAGCGUUAAAUAUGCCGAAAGUCAGAAAAAGUGAUGCCCGGAGUAUUAUUCUAAAGGUGAAAUCAUUUUUUGAAAAAGAAACUCGGCGCAGGCUCCUAUCAUUCCGUUUAAUCAAUUAAACAAACGGAUUUCGGCUGCAACAGGUGUAAGUCAAGGGCUAAUUUCAAAAAUUGUCAAAGAGGGCGAAGCAGCAAAAAAAACUGAUACCAAAAUUCGCACAGUAGGCAAGCAGAGAAUACGAAAAAGUGGAUUUGUUCAUGUAGAUGAUUUUGAUAUGGGAGUUAUCAGACAAAAAGUUCAUGAAUUUUAUUCUGCCAAUAAAGAGAUUCCUAACAUAAAAAAAACUUCUAGAAAUAUUAAAGACAGAAACAAAUUACACAGGACAGCGAGAAACUCUUCGCAAGCUACUUUACAAGUUAGGAUUCUGUUUUAAAAAAACUAAGUCCAAUCGUAAAGUUCUAAUGGAGCGUAAUGAAGUAUCGGCUUGGAGAGCAAGGUACUUGCGUGAAGUGAAUAAAAAUAAUAAAUUACCCAACCCCCGGCCUUUGAUUUAUUUAGAUGAAACUUAUAUUCACUCUUCACAUACAUCCAUCAAUUAUUGUAAUGGAUAAUGCUCCUUAUCACUGUGUUUGCGUGAAUAAAGUCCCAAAUUCAAACGAUUUAAAAAAGAUAUGCAGUUAUGGCUUAGGCAAAACAAAAUCGAGUAUGGAGAAGAUUUAACUAAUCCCCAGAUGUUAAAAAUAAUUAAAAGAAAGAAACCUGAGCCCAUAUACGAGACUGAAAGGAUUUUGGCAGAAAAUAGUCACAGGUGCUCGUAUUUACCCCCCUCCCCCCCUCCCCUAUCACCGUGACCUUAAUCCAAUUGAAUUAAUAUGGAGCACAAUGAGAAGAAACGUGGCCAGCGUAAACAUUGAUCACAAAAAUGAUGAGAUCUCUCGCCUGGUAAUAAAAUAAUUUGAAGCUAUUUCAGUUCAUGAGUGAAAACAGCAUUGUAAAUAUGUUCGUAGGCUAGAAAGAGAGUAUUUAAAACAGGACUCGUAUUUAGAUGAACCUUUCAUAACAAAUGUGACAAGUGACAGUGAAAUUGAGAGUGAUUCUGAUAGUGAUGAGUGCGGCAUGGAAGUGGAAGGGAUGACGUUGCACAUUCUUCAAAGACUGUGUUUGACCACAAUUAAUGCAAACGUGAUUUUCAAUAAAUCCUUUAAAAAAUAA
This is a long non-coding RNA of Bombyx mori (domestic silkworm), 1255 nucleotides long. RefSeq lists it as uncharacterized. NCBI's taxonomy places the organism in Eukaryota, Metazoa, Arthropoda, Insecta, Lepidoptera, Bombycidae. The record is from RefSeq and is a predicted model, not a curated record. The transcript is spliced from 2 exons.